GGGGAAGCUACAGAGCUGGGCCGGCCUCGAAUGUAAGGAUCGGCCUGCGCCCACGGCCAGCCCUGGCCCCUCUCAGUAGUUUCGGAUCCGCUCCAGGCGUGCUUCCUUCCUGGUGUCAGCCGAAGCGUGGUUGCUGCAGUGCCCAGCCCCCGCUUCUCCAGCCGCCCGCAUGAAGGCGUCCGUUUCUUAAGGGUUCCGCCGUCUACCACUGGAUACUUCCGGUGCGGACCCCAACCUUGCUGUGUCUGUGGCUUCAGCUCCUCCGUAAGGCGGUGACAGAGCCAUGGAAGUUAGGAGGGAAGUGUGAAAGGUCAGGACCCAGCUUAGCUCAGAAGGACACCGCCAGCCACUGCCCGUGACGCCCUUCGGUGUCCGGUGACAAGGCUAGGAGCACCCUGCCUGAUUCGAGCCCGCCCUGCCAAGGGAGGGGCCCACCUGCUGUGUCUCCUGCCCAGAGCUGUGCCCUCUGGGGCUCCCGAGGGCCAGAUGAGGCUGUGAAGUGUGUGUGGCCUGUGGUUAAGAACCAUCUCCAGAGCGAAAAAAACCAGGUUUCCACGUCUAUCAAAUGGGGACUAUCAUGCCUACUUCAGAAGAGCAUCUGUGCAGAUUGAGUGACCCCCCAGCAGUGUCUGCAUGUAGUAGGUGCUCAGCCAUGCUCCCCAGGCCAGGACACAGCGCUGCCCACUCCCGCUCAGCCCAGCCCCUGCCUCCUCCAGCCCCAGCCCUCCCCUGGGACGCUCCCUUAUCCUCUCCCUCUGCCUCCCACUCCACCCAGCCGAAGGACUGCACCACACAAUGACACCAAAGGUGGUCUCUGGCCCCCCAGACAGUGGCCCCACCCCUGCUUCCUUGGGUAAGAGAACCAAGACUUCCUUCCUGAGCUGUCAGUCACCCUGACCAGCCAGCACCAUGCUGGUUUAGUAUUUCCCCCUGCCCCAGGGAAGACAUGGACCUCACAGGAAAGGGAGCCAGGAAGGAGGCAGUUCACUGUGCCUUCCUCAGGAAAGGCUGUGUUUCUUCGGGUGGCCACCUGGGCCCCUGGCUCCCUAGAUUCUUGGGGGCUUCCACAAAGGGGUGUGGGGCCUGCGCUUUCCUC
This 1096-nucleotide long non-coding RNA is filed under the name Homo sapiens (human). RNAcentral describes it as "non-protein coding lnc-RECQL4-3:1". The record is from RNAcentral. Lineage: Eukaryota; Metazoa; Chordata; Mammalia; Primates; Hominidae.